CGGACUAGAAUUUGUCAAUGGAAGAUGCUAGAUCUUGUUCUGUUGGCUUUGCGGAGGAUUUACCUGUGGAAUCCAAGUGCUUGCACAACUCUGCUGAGAAGUUCCAGAGCUGACCUUCAGCAUCACUCCUGAGCGACUGCUCGAGCUGCGCACCCUGAAACCUCCCCUGGCUUCAGGUAAGACUGGAUUAUCGCAUGAUGCCUUGCAUUAGAAUUGGAGCUAUAAAGGAUGCUGCUGCCUGCACGCUGAGCCCUGUGUGCUGAGAUGCCUGAGGAUAUGAUGUGCCUGAUGUGCCAACCCUUCUGAGCUCCUCUUGCACGUCGCCUUCCCUCUGCUGUCCCCAGCCCCGGCAGGAGCCCAGGAAACCCCUCGUGGUGUGAGCAUCAGCAAUGCCACGGCACCGUCUUCAGGCUCCGGGACCGGCUCUGCUGUCACCCAUCUCUUCAGAGUGUGCUUAAGGCACCCAAACUGCUGGUACCAAGGCGAGCACAGCUCUACCUCACCCGGAAUUUUACUCUCAGCCCCAUUAUUGGUGUUCCGACACGUGUUGGCUGGACAGUUGCUGUAGGACAGAUCAAGCAGUUCUUGUCUGAAAAUCUGGAGUCCAGUGUAACCAAGUGGAAAGUGAAGAUAUUUGGUGACGUAGAAAUAUUUUUAACAGGGAAAUGCAGC
This 672-nucleotide long non-coding RNA is filed under the name Calidris pugnax (ruff). RNAcentral describes it as "lncRNA (ENSCPUG00000008870.1)". The record is from RNAcentral. Lineage: Eukaryota; Metazoa; Chordata; Aves; Charadriiformes; Scolopacidae.